This 234-nucleotide ribosomal RNA is filed under the name uncultured bacterium. RNAcentral's name for it is "partial 16S ribosomal RNA". The record is from RNAcentral.
CUGCUGCCUCCCGUAGGAGUCUGGACCGUCUCUCAGUUCCAAUGUGGCCGUUCAACCUCUCAGUCCGGCUACUGAUCGUCGACUUGGUGAGCCGUUACCUCACCAACUAUCUAAUCAGACAUGAGCCCAUCUUUCAGCGGAUUGCUCCUUUGAUAACAGGAUCAUGCGAUCCCGUCAUUUCAUGCGGUAUUAGCACACCUUUCGAUGUGUUAUCCCCCUNUGAAAGGCAAGUUG